GGGGGUGAUCGGUUUCGAUAUAAGUGUGAAUUUAUACUUUGCGUAGAGAGAUCUCCGAACUCUCUUAAAACAUCGGAAACAAAGUAAGUGCAAAUAAACUUACACCUGCUUACGCUUAAGUAAGCCGUCAUCACGACUGACUGAUCUGCUAGGUCGUAGUGGCGUCACAUUCGCAGAUCUGCAUUUGCGAUUUCUCCCUUGAUCGCAAAUCAAGCAACAAAGGGAAAAACCUGAGAUAAACGCUGUCGUCUGCGCUUCUCAGGGGUUCAUAGGCGACUACCUGCGUAGAACGGUAUAGACAAACACUUGUAGACGGGAGUUCGAUUCUCCCCACCUCCACCA
This 342-nucleotide transfer-messenger RNA is filed under the name Candidatus Campbelliibacteriota bacterium. RNAcentral's name for it is "Candidatus Campbellbacteria bacterium transfer-messenger RNA". It matches the Rfam family "transfer-messenger RNA". From Rfam's summary of the family: Bacterial tmRNA, also known as 10Sa RNA or SsrA, is named for its dual tRNA and mRNA-like properties. Its role is to liberate the mRNA from a stalled ribosome. To accomplish this part of the tmRNA is used as a reading frame that ends in a translation stop signal. The record is from RNAcentral. Lineage: Bacteria; Candidatus Campbelliibacteriota.